UGAAAUAAACAACUCUUUCGAUGUUUCAUUUUGUGAUUUUCUUCAUAUUUAAACACUCGUGAAGUGUUCUAGAAUCAUUUCUAUGCGUUUCCUUCAGCAACUUGAUGCUGGUAAACGACUUUUUCAUGAAAAUUCUGCAAAAAGAAAUACGAAAUGAGCUUGAUUCCAAUCUUUCGGAAUUGCUAAUACUAGAAGAAGCAAGGCAUACAUGUACAUGUACAAUACAUGAUUCUCUGUAGCAACUGGAUUGUCUAUUCACCACAACAAUUUUAUAACAGCAAUGAAACUCUAGACUACUACAUGUAUGGUGUUAUGAAGAUAUUUACAUGUAUAUCUACAUAUAUAAUUAAUUUUGAAGAUUGUUUAUGCCAAGGGUCAUCAUGUCGACUAGUCCGACAAGUUUUGGUUCAGCUUUCUGACAGGAAUUAUUAUAAACUUGCCAGCAGUUACAACACAUGAAUAUUAUUUGUUAUUAAGUGUGCCUAUCGGUCUAGCAAUUUUUAGAGACUGUUUAACGAUACUCUCAGAACUAUGAUCAUGAUAUGUGAUCAUAUGUCAGAAUCUGUGUAACUGUUACUACAAAAGGAGAUAUAUUAUUGUGCACUAAGAAGUAUUCCUAGUUAUCAGAAACUUUUUACAUGAAGUUUUAUAUAAAGAAAGUUGGAAUUCAUGAUAUUGAUGCAUUGUGCAGAAACAUGAAAUAUUUUAGUUUGUUUUCCUAACAGUCCAAGAGUAAGGUUAAAUUAUACCAAGGAGAAUUACUUAUUACCAUAAUUACGCAGCAGUAUUUUGAUCGUGGAUUCUUUUAAAUUUUAUUAUUUAUUGAA
This is a long non-coding RNA of Mytilus californianus (California mussel), 827 nucleotides long. RefSeq lists it as uncharacterized. NCBI's taxonomy places the organism in Eukaryota, Metazoa, Mollusca, Bivalvia, Mytilida, Mytilidae. The record is from RefSeq and is a predicted model, not a curated record. The transcript has 2 exons.